GACGAACGCUGGCGGCGUGCUUAACACAUGCAAGUCGAACGGUAAGGCCCUUCGGGGUACACGAGUGGCGAACGGGUGAGUAACACGUGGGUGAUCUGCCCUGCACUUCGGGAUAAGCCUGGGAAACUGGGUCUAAUACCGGAUAGGACCCUGGGAUGCAUGUCCUGGGGUGGAAAGCUUUUGCGGUGUGGGAUGGGCCCGCGGCCUAUCAGCUUGUUGGUGGGGCGAUGGCCUACCAAGGCGACGACGAGUAGCCGGCCUGGGAGGGCGACCGGCCACACGGGGACUGAGAUACGGCCCAGACUCCUACGGGAGGCAGCAGUGGGGAAGAUUGCACAAUGGGCGAAAGCCUGAUGCAGCGACGCCGCGUGGGGGAUGACGGCCUUCGGGUUGUAAACCUCUUUCAGCACCGACGAAGCGCAAGUGACGGUAGGUGCAGAAGAAGGACCGGCCAACUACGUGCCAGCCGCCGCGGUAA
This 478-nucleotide ribosomal RNA is filed under the name uncultured bacterium. RNAcentral describes it as "partial 16S ribosomal RNA". It matches the Rfam family "Bacterial small subunit ribosomal RNA", at positions 28 to 523 of the family's 1533-position model. The record is from RNAcentral.